Molecule: ribosomal RNA, 490 nt
Filed under: uncultured bacterium
Lineage: Bacteria
Description: partial 16S ribosomal RNA
Rfam family: Bacterial small subunit ribosomal RNA
Source: RNAcentral
AUUGAACGCUGGCGGCAUGCUUUACACAUGCAAGUCGAACGGCAGCACAGAGAAGUUUCCUUCUUGGGUGUCGCGUGGCGCGCGUGUGAGUCAUAUAGCUGAACGUACUGAGUAAUGGGGGAUAACUAAUCGAAAGAUUACCUAAUACCGCAUAUUUUCUGAGGAGGAAAGCAGGGGACCUUCGGGCCUUUCUUUAUUCGAUCGGCCGAUAUCUGGUUAGCUAGUUGGUGGGGUAAAGGCCUACCAAGGCGACGAUCAGUAGCGGGUCUGAGAGGAUGAUCGGCCACACUGGGACUGAGACACGGCCCAGACUCCUACGGGAGGCAGCAGUGGGGAAUUUUCGACAAUGGGCGAAAGCCUGAUCCAGCAACGCCGCGUGUGUGAUGAAGGCCUUCGGGUUGUAAAGGACUUUUGUCAGGGAAGAACAGGCUGGUGAUAAUACCGACAGCUGAUGACGGUACCUGAAGAGUAAGCAACGGCUAACUACGUG